RNAcentral lists this ribosomal RNA (116 nucleotides) under Bacillus thuringiensis. Lineage: Bacteria; Bacillati; Bacillota; Bacilli; Caryophanales; Bacillaceae. RNAcentral also lists the same sequence under 1 other name. The record is from RNAcentral.
UUUGGUAAUGAUGGCAGAGAGGUCACACCCGUUCCCAUACCGAACACGGAAGUUAAGCUCUCUAGCGCCGAUGGUAGUUGGGACCUUGUCCCUGUGAGAGUAGGACGUCGCCAAGC